UAUAUUAUAGUUUAAGUAAAAUAUUAAAUUGCAAAUUUAAAGUUAUAAAAAUUAUAUUAUUAUUAAUAUAU
Molecule: transfer RNA, 71 nt
Filed under: Solenopsis geminata
Lineage: Eukaryota; Metazoa; Arthropoda; Insecta; Hymenoptera; Formicidae
Description: tRNA-Cys
Source: RNAcentral